RNAcentral lists this transfer RNA (57 nucleotides) under Deltaproteobacteria bacterium. RNAcentral describes it as "tRNA-Val". It matches the Rfam family "tRNA", at positions 9 to 64 of the family's 71-position model. From Rfam's summary of the family: Transfer RNA (tRNA) molecules are approximately 80 nucleotides in length. Their secondary structure includes four short double-helical elements and three loops (D, anti-codon, and T loops). RNAcentral also lists the same sequence under 1 other name. The record is from RNAcentral. Lineage: Bacteria; Pseudomonadati; Myxococcota; Myxococcia.
AGCUCAGGGGGAGAGCGCCAUCCUGACGCGGUGGAUGUCCAGGGUUCAAAUCCCUGC